RNAcentral lists this ribosomal RNA (399 nucleotides) under uncultured bacterium. RNAcentral's name for it is "bacterial SSU rRNA". It matches the Rfam family "Bacterial small subunit ribosomal RNA", at positions 28 to 424 of the family's 1533-position model. The record is from RNAcentral.
GACGAACGCUGGCGGCGCGCUUAACACAUGCAAGUCGAGCGAGAACCCACCUUCGGGUGGGGGAAAGCGGCGAACGGGUGAGUAACACGUGGGCAACCCACCCUUGGUAUCCGGAUAGCCCGGGGAAACCCGGAUUAAUACGGAAUGGCCCAACAGCUCUUCGGGGCGGUUGGAAAAGGUAGCUUCGGCCUCCGACCAAGGACGGGCCCGCGGUGGAUUAGCUUGUUGGUGAGGUAACGGCCCACCAAGGCGACGAUCCAUAGCUGGUCUGAGAGGACGAUCAGCCACACUGGGACUGAGACACGGCCCAGACUCCUACGGGAGGCAGCAGUGGGGAAUCUUGCGCAAUGGGCGAAAGCCUGACGCAGCGACGCCGCGUGGGGGAUGACGGCCUCGGUU